CGCCUACGGGGGGCAGCAGUGAGGAAUAUUGGUCAAUGGGCGGAAGCCUGAACCAGCCAAGUCGCGUGAGGGAAGACGGCCCUACGGGUUGUAAACCUCUUUUGUCGGGGAGCAAAGCGAACCACGUGUGGUUCAUUGAGAGUACCCGAAGAAAAAGCAUCGGCUAACUCCGUGCCAGCAGCCGCGGUAAUACGGAGGAUGCGAGCGUUAUCCGGAUUUAUUGGGUUUAAAGGGUGCGCAGGCGGAGGUGCAAGUCAACGGUCAAAUUGCGGGGCUCAACCCCGUACUGCCGUUGAAACUGCAUC
This 305-nucleotide ribosomal RNA is filed under the name uncultured bacterium. RNAcentral describes it as "bacterial SSU rRNA". It matches the Rfam family "Bacterial small subunit ribosomal RNA", at positions 336 to 639 of the family's 1533-position model. The record is from RNAcentral.